This 209-nucleotide long non-coding RNA is filed under the name Lathyrus oleraceus (garden pea). RNAcentral describes it as "Pisum sativum (pea) long non-coding RNA (PSAT_LNC007565)". Lineage: Eukaryota; Viridiplantae; Streptophyta; Magnoliopsida; Fabales; Fabaceae. The record is from RNAcentral.
AAAAAAUAAAAAAUAAUCAUUGUAAGUAUAAGCAUGUGACUAAGACUCUAGCAAUCAUUUACUUCUUGGUGAGUUAGGUUCCAUCCUAAAACACACAAGUCAACCUUAAUAUAAGUUUGGGCUUUUCAUUCAUGUUUGGAGUCACCUAUGUCAACUAUAUUCGUCAAAGGAAAAACUUGAAAAGAGAAACCCCUAGUGAUCUCCCUAAG